UAGUCUAAACCACUAUGCUCAUAACAAUGAUUGUUGCUCACGGACAUACAUAACACAACCAAUAACGAUGAAUCAGAAGCAGACCUGUGUGGUAUAUCAUGGAUGAUGAAGAUAUGAUGACAGUAUACAUGUAUGCAUCAUCAUCAAACUGUAGCUGCCAAGCAAUUCACAAUGGCAGAUUCAUUAGGAACCGUAAGCACGGUACCAGACCAUUCAAUUUUUCCCCAAAUCUCCCUUUCUCCACGCCUUCCAACAUCAAUCUCCGCACACCAAAUCUCCAUUCUCCUAGAACCACCACUACCAGCUUUACCUUCCCACAAAACCGUAAGCUUUCCACCACGAUUAGCCAUUGUAGCCCCACAAAGAAACUUUGGAAGUGACUCCACACCUUUCAGCUCUCUCCAAAUCCUCUCUUUUGGAUCAUACCCUCUAAUCUUCCCCAAGUAAUCAUAACAAUACAAUAUGUUCUCAAUCACACAAGCUCUUCCUCUCCAUCCCAAAUCAAGCCUCUUCUCAGGCAUCUCCCAUUUCUUUUCCUUGGGUUCGUAAACAACACCGUUUCGAUCAGCCAUUGCGUAAACCUUCCCUUCCAUAACCGCACUUGCGUGCAUCCAUUUCUCACGAACCUCCAUACCUGGACUAGCCACUGGCUCCCAAGUUUGAGUCUUUAUAUCAAACAUCUCUGCCCAGUUAAUCGAUCGAGCCCAAUUAUCAACUACACAUCCUCCAAUCACAUAAAUCUUCCCAUCAAUUACACCAGCUGCUGCAAAUUCACGACCUACUCUCAUAUUAGAGACUCGUCGCCAAGUAUGAAAUCUGCAAUCGAGAACCCACACGCUCGAAGAAGGCACGUCUCUAAUAGAUCCACCGAUCACGUAAAUCUCUGAAUCUACCACAACGUAAGCGGAUCCGACUAGAGACGGUGAAGGACAAGAUGGGAUUGGAACAAGCAUUUUCGAAUUCGUUGAGUUCGAUAAGGUUCGAUGGAGGAGAGUGAACCAACACGCACCAGAUUCAGGAGGUAUACGGAUUGCUACGUAGAGGAUGUUUUCAGUGGCUCCGACGAGAGCUCUCGUGGCGUAGAGAAGAGGUGAUGUUGGGAGAGAUCGGAAAGUCUUGGAGACGAGUGAGAGGAUUGGAUAGUGACAUCUAGGGACGCGAGCAAGGCAACUGAGAGCAACGUCUUCUGAUAACAACGGAAUCAAUUGCGCCGGUGAUUUUGUUUCCGGUGGUUCGUCGCCGGAGCUCGUUGUAGCCGCCAUUGAUCCGUUUUGAUCAGUCUUUAUUUCCUUCUCAAUUUAAAAGAGAAAAUUAAUUUUGCAAUUAUUCGGUUCG
Molecule: long non-coding RNA, 1335 nt
Filed under: Arabidopsis thaliana (thale cress)
Lineage: Eukaryota; Viridiplantae; Streptophyta; Magnoliopsida; Brassicales; Brassicaceae
Description: ncRNA (AT2G07475)
Source: RNAcentral